UGAGUUUUAUAGGGGCAUAGUUCAGUAGGUAGAACAUCGGUCUUCAAAACCGAGUGUCACGAGUUCGAGUCUUGUUGCCCCUGCCAUUUUGAAAGCAAAUCACACUUUGUGUGAUUUUUUUAUAGGAGAGUAGUUCAAUGGUAGAACGUCGGUCUCCAAAACCGAGCGUUGAGGGUUCGAUUCCUUUCUCUCCUGCCAUAAGAAAUAAAAAAAAACUGGAAUUUCCAGUUUUUUUAUUCU
Molecule: transfer RNA, 240 nt
Filed under: Mycoplasma capricolum
Lineage: Bacteria; Bacillati; Mycoplasmatota; Mollicutes; Mycoplasmatales; Mycoplasmataceae
Description: precursor RNA
Rfam family: tRNA (bases 11-83)
Source: RNAcentral